CGGAGGGUGCAAGCGUUAUCCGGAUUUAUUGGGUUUAAAGGGUCCGUAGGCGGAUCUGUAAGUCAGUGGUGAAAUCUCACAGCUUAACUGUGAAACUGCCAUUGAUACUGCAGGUCUUGAGUAAGGUAGAAGUAGCUGGAAUAAGUAGUGUAGCGGUGAAAUGCAUAGAUAUUACUUAGAACACCAAUUGCGAAGGCAGGUUACUAUGUCUUAACUGACGCUGAUGGACGAAAGCGUGGGGAGCGAACAGGA
Molecule: ribosomal RNA, 252 nt
Filed under: uncultured Chryseobacterium sp.
Lineage: Bacteria; Pseudomonadati; Bacteroidota; Flavobacteriia; Flavobacteriales; Weeksellaceae
Description: partial 16S ribosomal RNA
Rfam family: Bacterial small subunit ribosomal RNA
Source: RNAcentral